RNAcentral lists this transfer RNA (71 nucleotides) under Deltaproteobacteria bacterium. RNAcentral's name for it is "tRNA-Gly". It matches the Rfam family "tRNA". Rfam says of the family: Transfer RNA (tRNA) molecules are approximately 80 nucleotides in length. Their secondary structure includes four short double-helical elements and three loops (D, anti-codon, and T loops). Lineage: Bacteria; Pseudomonadati; Myxococcota; Myxococcia. RNAcentral also lists the same sequence under 1 other name. The record is from RNAcentral.
GCGGGUGUAGCUCAAUGGUGGAGCCCCAGCCUUCCAAGCUGGUCGUGAGGGUUCGAUUCCCUUCACCCGCU